CAGCAGCCACGGUAAUACGAAGGGGGCAAGCGUUGUUCGGAAUUAUUGGGCGUAAAGGGCGCGUAGGCGGCUUGGCAAGUUUCGUGUGAAAUCUUCGGGCUCAACUCGAAGUCUGCACGGAAAACUGCCGGGCUUGAGUAUGGGAGAGGUGAGUGGAAUUUCCGGUGUAGCGGUGAAAUGCGUAGAUAUCUGAAGGAACACCUGUGGCGAAAGCGGCUCACUGGACCAUUACUGACGCUGAGGCGCGAAAGCUAGGGGGGCAAACAGGAUUAGAUACCCGAGUAGUCCCUGUCUCUUAUAA
Molecule: ribosomal RNA, 301 nt
Filed under: uncultured bacterium
Lineage: Bacteria
Description: partial 16S ribosomal RNA
Rfam family: Bacterial small subunit ribosomal RNA
Source: RNAcentral